AUGGGCGGGGGUCGUAGGGGCGCUCGUAUUCAUGUCGCUUCGGAGGCCCGUAGUAGCGGCCAGGGGUCGGCGUCCUCGCACGGCCACGUCGCGCCUUUUCAACUGAAACCGUCUUACCCAUGAGUUCAGCACCAUUCAUCGCUGUAAUAGCGGCGUCUGCCUCUUCACCGCUCUCCAUCGUAACAAACCCAAAGCCGCGAGAUUCGCGGGUGUGAGG
Molecule: unclassified non-coding RNA, 217 nt
Filed under: Hevea brasiliensis (rubber tree)
Lineage: Eukaryota; Viridiplantae; Streptophyta; Magnoliopsida; Malpighiales; Euphorbiaceae
Source: RNAcentral